GAGUUUGAUCGUGGCUCAGAGCGAACGCUGGCGGCAGGCUUAACACAUGCAAGUCGAGCGGGCCCUUCGGGGUCAGCGGCGGACGGGUGGGUAACGCGUGGGAACGUGCCUUCAGGUUCGGAAUAACCCUGGGAAACUAGGGCUAAUACCGGGAUACGCCCUUUUGGGGAAAGGUUUACUGCCGGAAGAUCGGCCCGCGUCUGAUUAGCUAGUUGGUGGGGUAAUGGCCUACCAAGGCGACGAUCAGUAGCUGGUCUGAGAGGAUGAUCAGCCACACUGGGACUGAGACACGGCCCAGACUCCUACGGGAGGCAGCAGUGGGGAAUAUUGGACAAUGGGCGCAAGCCUGAUCCAGCCAUGCCGCGUGAGUGAUGAAGGCCUUAGGGUUGUAAAGCUCUUUUAUCCGGGACGAUAAUGACGGUACCGGAGGAAUAAGCCCCGGCUAACUUCGUGCCAGCCGCCGCAGUAAC
RNAcentral lists this ribosomal RNA (470 nucleotides) under uncultured microorganism. RNAcentral's name for it is "bacterial SSU rRNA". It matches the Rfam family "Bacterial small subunit ribosomal RNA", at positions 9 to 524 of the family's 1533-position model. The record is from RNAcentral.